AGAGUUUGAUCAUGGCUCAGGAUGAACGCUAGCUACAGGCUUAACACAUGCAAGUCGAGGGGAAACGACAUCGAAAGCUUGCUUUUGAUGGGCGUCGACCGGCGCACGGGUGAGUAACGCGUAUCCAACCUGCCCACCACUUGGGGAUAACCUUGCGAAAGUAAGACUAAUACCCAAUGACGUCUCUAGAAGACAUCUGAAAGAGAUUAAAGAUUUAUCGGUGAUGGAUGGGGAUGCGUCUGAUUAGCUUGUUGGCGGGGUAACGGCCACCAAGGCUACGAUCAGUAGGGGUUCUGAGAGGAAGGUCCCCANAUUGGAACUGAGACACGGUCCAAACUCGUUACGGAGGCA
Molecule: ribosomal RNA, 351 nt
Filed under: uncultured bacterium
Lineage: Bacteria
Description: bacterial SSU rRNA
Rfam family: Bacterial small subunit ribosomal RNA
Source: RNAcentral